CCUACGGGGGGCUGCAGUCGAGAAUAUUCGACAAUGGAGGAAACUCUGAUCGAGCGACGCCGCGUGGAGGAUGAAGUACUUCGGUAUGUAAACUCCUUUUGUAAGCUAACAAGUUAUUGAGUAGCUUAAGAAUAAGAGGUUGCUAAACUCGUGCCAGCAGCAGCGGUAAUACGAGUGCCUCAAGCGUUAUCCGGAAUUAUUGGGCGUAAAGGGUGUGUAGGUGGUUUUGUUAGUCUCUUGUUAAAUUCUUCGGCUUAACCGGGGGUCUGCAAGGGAAACGGCAAGACUAGAGUGUGCGAGGGGUCUGUGGAACUCAUGGUGUAGCGGUGAAAUGCGUUGAUAUCAUGGGGAACACCAAAAGCGAAGGCAGCAGACUGGAGCAUUACUGACACUGAAACACGAAAGCGUGGGUAGCGAAUGGGCUUAGAUACCCCGGUAGUC
This 441-nucleotide ribosomal RNA is filed under the name uncultured bacterium. RNAcentral's name for it is "bacterial SSU rRNA". It matches the Rfam family "Bacterial small subunit ribosomal RNA", at positions 338 to 795 of the family's 1533-position model. The record is from RNAcentral.